RNAcentral lists this ribosomal RNA (539 nucleotides) under uncultured bacterium. RNAcentral's name for it is "bacterial SSU rRNA". It matches the Rfam family "Bacterial small subunit ribosomal RNA", at positions 355 to 912 of the family's 1533-position model. The record is from RNAcentral.
UGGGGAAUCUUGGACAAUGGGGGCAACCCUGAUCCAGCCAUGCCGCGUGAGUGAUGAAGGCCUUAGGGUCGUAAAGCUCUUUCGCCUGUGAAGAUAAUGACGGUAGCAGGUAAAGAAACCCCGGCUAACUCCGUGCCAGCAGCCGCGGUAAUACGGAGGGGGUUAGCGUUGUUCGGAAUUAUUGGGCGUAAAGAGCUCGUAGGCGGUUCGGUAAGUCGGGUGUGAAAACUCUGGGCUCAACCCAGAGAGGCCACUCGAUACUGCUGUGACUAGAGUGCGGUAGGGGAGCGGGGAAUUCCUGGUGUAGCGGUGAAAUGCGCAGAUAUCAGGAGGAACACCAGUGGCGAAGGCGCCGCUCUGGGCCGUAACUGACGCUGAGGAGCGAAAGCAUGGGUAGCAAACAGGAUUAGAUACCCUGGUAGUCCAUGCCGUAAACGAUGAAUGCCAGUCGUCGGGUAGCAUGCUAUUCGGUGACACACCUAACGGAUUAAGCAUUCCGCCUGGGGAGUACGGUCGCAGAUUAAAACUCAAAUGAAUUG